UUCCCGGUUGAUCCUGCCGGACCCGACUGCUAUCAGAGUGGGACUAAGCCAUGCGAGUCAACAUAGCAAUAUGUGGCAUACGGCUCAGUAACACGUAGUCAACAUGCCCAGGGGACGUGGAUAACCUCGGGAAACUGAGGAUAAACCGCGAUAGGUCAUUUCUUCUGGAAUGGGUAAUGACCCAAAUCUACAUGGCCCCUGGAUUGGACUGCGGCCGAUCAGGCUGUUGGUGAGGUAAUGGCCCACCAAACCUGUAACCGGUACGGGCUCUGAGAGGAGGAGCCCGGAGAUGGGCACUGAGACAAGGGCCCAGGCCCUAUGGGGCGCAGCAGGCGCGAAACCUCUGCAAUAGGCGAAAGCUUGACAGGGUUACUCUGAGUGAUUUCCGUUAAGGAGAUCUUUUGGCACCUCUAAAAAUGGUGCAGAAUAAGGGGUGGGCAAGUCUGGUGUCAGCCGCCGCGGUAAUACCAGCACCCCGAGUGGUCGGGACGUUUAUUGGGCCUAAAGCAUCCGUAGCCGGUUCUACAAGUCUUCCGUUAAAUCCACCUGCUUAACAGAUGGGCUGCGGAAGAUACUAUAGAGCUAGGAGGCGGGAGAGGCAAGCGGUACUCGAUGGGUAGGGGUAAAAUCCGUUGAUCCAUUGAAGACCACCAGUGGCGAAGGCGGCUUGCCAGAACGCGCUCGACGGUGAGGGAUGAAAGCUGGGGGAGCAAACCGGAUUAGAUACCCGGGUAGUCCCAGCUGUAAACGAUGCAGACUCGGUGAUGAGUUGGCUUAUUGCUAACUCAGUGCCGCAGGGAAGCCGUUAAGUUUGCCGCCUGGGGAGUACGGUCGCAAGACUGAAACUUAAAGGAAUUGGCGGGGGAGCACCACAAGGGGUGAAGCCUGCGGUUCAAUUGGAUUCAACGCCGGA
Molecule: ribosomal RNA, 913 nt
Filed under: uncultured archaeon
Lineage: Archaea
Description: bacterial SSU rRNA
Rfam family: Archaeal small subunit ribosomal RNA
Source: RNAcentral